AGAGUUUGAUCAUGGCUCAGAGCGAACGCUGGCGGCAGGCUUAACACAUGCAAGUCGAGCGGGCGUAGCAAUACGUCAGCGGCAGACGGGUGAGUAACGCGUGGGAACAUACCUUUUGGUUCGGAACAACCCAGGGAAACUUGGGCUAAUACCGGAUAAGCCCUUACGGGGAAAGAUUUAUCGCCGAAAGAUUGGCCCGCGUCUGAUUAGCUAGUUGGUGAGGUAAUGGCUCACCAAGGCGACGAUCAGUAGCUGGUCUGAGAGGAUGAUCAGCCACAUUGGGACUGAGACACGGCCCAAACUCCUACGGGAGGCAGCAGUGGGGAAUAUUGGACAAUGGGCGCAAGCCUGAUCCAGCCAUGCCGCGUGAGUGAUGAAGGCCCUAGGGUUGUAAAGCUCUUUUGUGCGGGAAGAUAAUGACGGUACCGCAAGAAUAAGCCCCGGCUAACUUCGUGCCAGCAGCCGCGGUAAUACGAAGGGGGCUAGCGUUGCUCGGAAUCACUGGGCGUAAAGGGUGCGUAGGCGGGUCUUUAAGUCAGGGGUGAAAUCCUGGAGCUCAACUCCAGAACUGCCUUUGAUACUGAAGAUCUUGAGUUCGGGAGAGGUGAGUGGAACUGCGAGUGUAGAGGUGAAAUUCGUAGAUAUUCGCAAGAACACCAGUGGCGAAGGCGGCUCACUGGCCCGAUACUGACGCUGAUGCACGAAAGCGUGGGGAGCAAACAGGAUUAGAUACCCUAGUAGUCC
Molecule: ribosomal RNA, 744 nt
Filed under: uncultured bacterium
Lineage: Bacteria
Description: bacterial SSU rRNA
Rfam family: Bacterial small subunit ribosomal RNA
Source: RNAcentral